Molecule: ribosomal RNA, 253 nt
Filed under: uncultured bacterium
Lineage: Bacteria
Description: partial 16S ribosomal RNA
Rfam family: Bacterial small subunit ribosomal RNA
Source: RNAcentral
UACGAAGGGAGCUAGCGUUGUUCGGAAUCACUGGGCGUAAAGCGCACGUAGGCGGAUUUGUCAGUCAGGGGUGAAAUCCCGGGGCUCAACCUCGGAACUGCCUUUGAUACAGCAAGUCUUGAGUUCGAGAGAGGUGGGUGGAAUUCCUAGUGUAGAGGUGAAAUUCGUAGGUAUUAGGAGGAACACCGGUGGCGAAGGCGGCCCACUGGCUCGAUACUGACGCUGAGGUGCGAAAGCGUGGGGAGCAAACAGG